Molecule: long non-coding RNA, 1092 nt
Organism: Solanum stenotomum
Lineage: Eukaryota; Viridiplantae; Streptophyta; Magnoliopsida; Solanales; Solanaceae
Exons: 4
Source: RefSeq, a predicted model, not a curated record
CGGAGAGAUAGGCGGAUACUGUUGAAUUUCAUACUUUCAGGAAGCUUAAUCAAGAAGGUGGUAAUACCCCCGGAGCUGUUUCCUUGGAUGAUGUGGAUCUUGAUCAAGUUAGCGUUGAUUUUGUCCUCAAUUGUGCAAGAAAAGUUGGUGAAUGCAAGUGUGAGUUGCUAAGUAACUGGGGUUUAUGGUGAAGUUGCCAGGGGAGAGUAAAACUCUACAGAGCCUCUACAAAGAUUUCAGAGAGAUAGGCGGAUACUAUUGAAUUUCAUUCUUUCAGGAAGCUUAAUCAAGAAAGUGGUAAUGCCUCCCGGAGCUGUUUCCUUGGAUGAUGUGGAUCUUGAUCAACUCGUUGAUUUUGUCCUUAAUUGUGCAAGAAAAGGCGGACUCCUUGAACUAUCUGACAGCAAUCUGUUCCCUCAUAUGGUAAAUUCGGACUUGCACAUUCAUUAUUAUAUGUUCAAUGGUCAUUAUUUAUGAAUGUUCUUGUUCGAGAUUGCAAAUACAUUGAUUUCUAUUCAAUAUUUACUAUUUGUGAAUGUUCCAUUUACCGAGGCUUAUCUAUUGCUGCUUAGAAUUAUUUUCAUAUGGGGUUGUUGUGUAGCAAUUUUUCCUAUCCCAAAACAUUAUUUAGUGUGUUCUAUGCACAUCAAUGUUUAUUUUCAUUCCUCAACGCUUUCCUUUUUGUAUUAAGAGUAAUGUAGGUUCAAAUGAUGAAUUCUUUCUAGCUACAAAUCCUGAACUAUCGGGUUUGCCUCCAAGAAGAUUACCCCCGCCUGUCCCUAUUUCCACACCAUCACCAAUUAUGCCAACACUCUCCACAUCAGAAUCAAUUGACUGAACCAUUUGAAGAGCUGUCCAGUUUAUCUAAAUCUCAGUCUCUCAGUUCCACACAACAACAAGAGUUUAACAAUGCUGCUGCUGAUCUUGUGCUUGGAUUGUCGUCAUUUGCUACUGGUAAGCAUGCUUAUUAUAGGUGUAUAUGUGUAUGGUGGACCUGUAACUUCUGCUAUCAUAAGUGUGACAGUUUCAUUUUUGCAGUAUUAGGUUGUAAUUUGCUUCUUUUUUUAGCUCUAAGGUGCUAUAUCUAUAGUA